AUCGGCCAUAACAUUGACAUGAGU
This 24-nucleotide non-coding RNA is filed under the name Arabidopsis thaliana (thale cress). The record is from RNAcentral. Lineage: Eukaryota; Viridiplantae; Streptophyta; Magnoliopsida; Brassicales; Brassicaceae.